Molecule: ribosomal RNA, 484 nt
Filed under: uncultured bacterium
Lineage: Bacteria
Description: partial 16S ribosomal RNA
Rfam family: Bacterial small subunit ribosomal RNA
Source: RNAcentral
AUUGAACGCUGGCGGCAUGCUUUACACAUGCAAGUCGAACGGCAGCGCGGGCUUCGGCCUGGCGGCGAGUGGCGAACGGGUGAGUAAUACAUCGGAACGUGCCCAGUAGUGGGGGAUAGCUCGGCGAAAGCCGGAUUAAUACCGCAUACGACCUGAGGGUGAAAGCGGGGGAUCUUCGGACCUCGCGCUAUUGGAGCGGCCGAUGGCAGAUUAGCUAGUUGGUGGGGUAAAGGCCUGCCAAGGCGACGAUCUGUAGCUGGUCUGAGAGGACGACCAGCCACACUGGGACUGAGACACGGCCCAGACUCCUACGGGAGGCAGCAGUGGGGAAUGUUGGACAAUGGGCGAAAGCCUGAUCCAGCAAUGCCGCGUGUGUGAUGAAGGCCUUCGGGUUGUAAAGCACUUUUGGCGGGAACGAAAAGGACUGUGCCAAUACCACGGUUCGAUGACGGUACCCGCAGAAUAAGCACCGGCUAACUACGUG